Molecule: non-coding RNA, 24 nt
Filed under: Mus musculus (house mouse)
Lineage: Eukaryota; Metazoa; Chordata; Mammalia; Rodentia; Muridae
Source: RNAcentral
UGACAGCUAUGGUAAGGAUGGAGC